CGUGGAAAAGAGGUCGAGAGAUCAGAGACAAUUUGGGAAGGAGGAUGAAGUAUGUGAAGAGGAACUCAAAAGCUGUUGGGAUCACCAUCCUUACUGUAAUUCUAAGAGUAUAAAUAAUCAGGUACAAGAGUAGCUACUGAGUAGGGGAUGUCGUCUAUGCCCCUUUAGCUUUUAUCAUUAGGUCUUAGAGGAGUCGCUCUGAUAUGUAGCAUUCGAGAUGGGAUGUCGUCCUUCAUUGUAUGAUGUUUUGUUUUGUUUUGUUGGAGUUGUUGUUGAGACUUUAUGGUGGACUUUGUUUAAUUUCUGCUGCAUAUUUGCAUGACUAUUUGGUUUUUUGAAGUUUUA
Molecule: long non-coding RNA, 345 nt
Organism: Lathyrus oleraceus (garden pea)
Lineage: Eukaryota; Viridiplantae; Streptophyta; Magnoliopsida; Fabales; Fabaceae
Exons: 2
Source: RefSeq, a predicted model, not a curated record